This 385-nucleotide ribosomal RNA is filed under the name uncultured bacterium. RNAcentral describes it as "bacterial SSU rRNA". It matches the Rfam family "Bacterial small subunit ribosomal RNA", at positions 30 to 416 of the family's 1533-position model. The record is from RNAcentral.
AUUGAACGCUGGCGGCAUGCCUUACACAUGCAAGUCGAACGGCAGCACGGGAGCAAUCCUGGUGGCGAGUGGCGAACGGGUGAGUAAUAUAUCGGAACGUGCCCAGUCGUGGGGAUAACGUAGCGAAAGCUACGCUAAUACCGCAUACGAUCUAUGGAUGAAAGCGGGGGAUCGCAAGACCUCGCGCGAUUGGANCGGCCGAUAUCAGAUUAGGUAGUUGGUGAGGUAAAGGCUCACCAAGCCGACGAUCUGUAGCUGGUCUGAGAGGACGACCAGCCACACUGGGACUGAGACACGGCCCAGACUCCUACGGGAGGCAGCAGUGGGGAAUUUUGGACAAUGGGCGCAAGCCUGAUCCAGCAAUGCCGCGUGCAGGAUGAAGGCC